Molecule: ribosomal RNA, 448 nt
Filed under: uncultured bacterium
Lineage: Bacteria
Description: bacterial SSU rRNA
Rfam family: Bacterial small subunit ribosomal RNA
Source: RNAcentral
GCCAGACUCCUACGGGAGGCAGCAGUGGGGGAUAUUGCACAAUGGGGGAAACCCUGAUGCAGCGACGCCGCGUGAGUGAAGAAGUAUUUCGGUAUGUAAAGCUCUAUCAGCAGGGAAGAAGAAAGACGGUACCUGAGUAAGAAGCCCCGGCUAACUACGUGCCAGCAGCCGCGGUAAUACGUAGGGGGCAAGCGUUAUCCGGAUUUACUGGGUGUAAAGGGAGCGUAGACGGUAUGGCAAGUCUGAAGUGAAAGCCCCGGGCUCAACCUGGGAACUGCUUUGGAAACUGUUAAACUAGAGUGCUGGAGAGGCAGGCGGAAUUCCUAGUGUAGCGGUGAAAUGCGUAGAUAUUAGGAGGAACACCAGUGGCGAAGGCGGCCUGCUGGACAGUAACUGACGUUGAGGCUCGAAAGCGUGGGGAGCAAACAGGAUUAGAUACCCGGGUAGC